AGUCUAGUAUAAUAAAGUUGUUUUGAUAGAAGACCAAAGUAUUAUUGUAAGUUUACAUUUUGAACAUAAAAUAUCAAGGAUGGCUGCCUUAGAUGAUUUGCCACAAGUAACUUCGUUUUUUGGAAUCGAUUUGAGGACAGGAUCUAUGAUAAUAGCGGCGUUAGGAAUCGUACACCCAAUGGCGUAUGGAUGUUCAAUUUUCAUACCAAUAAGUUAUCUACUGGUUACGAUUUGGAUCUUAGUAGCAUUAUACUUUGCUAUUAGCAUAGUUCUUCUGUUUGGACUCCAGCAGGGUGAUGCAGCGUUGUGUGGAAUAUGGGUUUGGUACUCUGUGGUCUUCGUGGUGAUAAUGUUGAUGAUGAUGAUCCUACUUGCCUUAGUGUUUACGUCCAGAAAGCAAAGGAGUCGGGUAUUUGUGGUCAUCCUGGGAAUGCUUUGGUAUAUUCUGACGAUAUAUUUCAUUCUUGUUGUGAACAGUCAUCGGAAAGAACUAUUGGGGUUAUAAGAAGACACAAAGAGUUUCUAGUAUAUGUGUAUUUUGGAAAUAAAUUGUGAUAUUCUUUCAAA
Long non-coding RNA from Leptidea sinapis, 567 nucleotides. RefSeq lists it as uncharacterized. The record is from RefSeq and is a predicted model, not a curated record. The transcript has 4 exons. Lineage: Eukaryota; Metazoa; Arthropoda; Insecta; Lepidoptera; Pieridae.